UCUCUGGUUGUCCAGUGGUUAAGACUCUGCGCUUCCAAUGCAGGGGGCACAGGUUCAAUUCCUGGCUAGAGAA
This 73-nucleotide transfer RNA is filed under the name Bos taurus (domestic cattle). It matches the Rfam family "tRNA". Rfam says of the family: Transfer RNA (tRNA) molecules are approximately 80 nucleotides in length. Their secondary structure includes four short double-helical elements and three loops (D, anti-codon, and T loops). RNAcentral also lists the same sequence under 4 other names. Lineage: Eukaryota; Metazoa; Chordata; Mammalia; Artiodactyla; Bovidae. The record is from Rfam by way of RNAcentral.